GGGUUGUGAGGUUAAGCGACUAAGCGUACACGGUGGAUGCCUAGGCAAUCAGAGGCGAUGAAGGACGUGCUAAUCUGCGAUAAGCGUCGGUAAGGUGAUAUGAACCGUUACAACCGACGAUUUCCGAAUGGGGAAACCCAGUGCAAUUCGUUGCACUAUCGUUUGAUGAAUACAUAGUCAAACGAAGCGAACCGGGGGAACUGAAACAUCUCAGUACCCCGAGGAAAAGAAAUCAACCGAGAUUCCCCUAGUAGCGGCGAGCGAACGGGGAGCAGCCCAGAGUCUUAAUCAGCAUUAGCAUCAGGAGAACGGUCUGGAAAGUCCGGCAGUAAAGGGUGAUAGCCCCGUAUCCGAAGGUGUUAGUGUUGUGAACUCGACGAGUAGGGCGGGACACGUGUUAUCCUGUCUGAAUAUGGGGGGACCAUCCUCCAAGGCUAAAUACUCCUGAUUGACCGAUAGUGAACCAGUACCGUGAGGGAAAGGCGAAAAGAACCCCGGCGAGGGGAGUGAAAUAGAACCUGAAACCGUGUACGUACAAGCAGUGGGAGCACCUUUAGGGUGUGACUGCGUACCUUUUGUAUAAUGGGUCAGCGACUUAUAUUCUGUAGCAAGGUUAACCGUAUAGGGGAGCCGUAGGGAAACCGAGUCUUAACUGGGCGAAUAAGUUGCAGGGUAUAGACCCGAAACCCGGUGAUCUAGCCAUGGGCAGGUUGAAGGUUGGGUAACACUAACUGGAGGACCGAACCGACUAAUGUUGAAAAAUUAGCGGAUGACUUGUGGCUGGGGGUGAAAGGCCAAUCAAACCGGGAGAUAGCUGGUUCUCCCCGAAAGCUAUUUAGGUAGCGCCUCGUGAACUCAUCUUCGGGGGUAGAGCACUGUUUCGACUAGGGGGUCAUCCCGACUUACCAACUCGAUGCAAACUACGAAUACCGAAGAAUGUUAUCACGGGAGACACACGGCGGGUGCUAACGUUCGUCGUGAAGAGGGAAACAACCCAGACCGCCAGCUAAGGUCCCAAAGUCAUAGUUAAGUGGGAAACGAAGUGGGAAGGCUCAGACAGCCAGGAUGUUGGCUUAGAAGCAGCCAUCAUUUAAAGAAAGCGUAAUAGCUCACUGGUCGAGUCGGCCUGCGCGGAAGAUGUAACGGGGCUAAACUAUGCACCGAAGCUGCGGCAGCGAUAUUUAGAUAUUGUUGGGUAGGGGAGCGUUCUGUAAGCCUGUGAAGGUGUGCUGUGAGGCAUGCUGGAGGUAUCAGAAGUGCGAAUGCUGACAUAAGUAACGAUAAUGCGGGUGAAAAACCCGCACGCCGGAAGACCAAGGGUUCCUGUCCAACGUUAAUCGGGGCAGGGUGAGUCGACCCCUAAGGCGAGGCAGAAAUGCGUAGUCGAUGGGAAACGGGUUAAUAUUCCCGUACUGGUGAUAAUUGCGAUGGGGGGACGGAGAAGGCUAGGCUAUCCGGGCGACGGUUGUCCCGGUUUAAGGAUGUAGGCAGGUGAAUUAGGCAAAUCCGGUUCACUACAUGCUGAGGUCCGAUGACGAGUCACUACGGUGAUGAAGUAGCUCAUGCCCCGCUUCCAGGAAAAGCCUCUAAGCUCUAGAUUAUCAUUAAUCGUACCCCAAACCGACACAGGUGGUCAGGUAGAGAAUACUCAGGCGCUUGAGAGAACUCGGGUGAAGGAACUAGGCAAAAUGGUGCCGUAACUUCGGGAGAAGGCACGCUGGCAUUAGGUGAAGUGAUUUACUCAUGGAGCUGAAGCCAGUCGCAGAUACCAGCUGGCUGCAACUGUUUAUUAAAAACACAGCACUGUGCAAACACGAAAGUGGACGUAUACGGUGUGACGCCUGCCCGGUGCUGGAAGGUUAAUUGAUGGGGUUAUCCGUAAGGAGAAGCUCUUGAUCGAAGCCCCAGUAAACGGCGGCCGUAACUAUAACGGUCCUAAGGUAGCGAAAUUCCUUGUCGGGUAAGUUCCGACCUGCACGAAUGGCGUAAUGAUGGCCAGGCUGUCUCCACCCGAGACUCAGUGAAAUUGAACUCGCUGUGAAGAUGCAGUGUACCCGCGGCAAGACGGAAAGACCCCGUGAACCUUUACUAUAGCUUGACACUGAACAUUGAGCCUUGAUGUGUAGGAUAGGUGGGAGGCUUUGAAGUGUGGACGCCAGUCUGCAUGGAGCCAACCUUGAAAUACCACCCUUUAAUGUUUGAUGUUCUAACGUUGCCCCGUUAUCCGGGGUGCGGACAGUGUCUGGUGGGUAGUUUGACUGGGGCGGUCUCCUCCCAAAGAGUAACGGAGGAGCACGAAGGUUGGCUAAGCAUGGUCGGACAUCAUGCGGUUAGUGCAAAGGCAUAAGCCAGCUUGACUGCGAGAGUGACGGCUCGAGCAGGUACGAAAGUAGGUCUUAGUGAUCCGGUGGUUCUGAAUGGAAGGGCCAUCGCUCAACGGAUAAAAGGUACUCCGGGGAUAACAGGCUGAUACCGCCCAAGAGUUCAUAUCGACGGCGGUGUUUGGCACCUCGAUGUCGGCUCAUCACAUCCUGGGGCUGAAGUAGGUCCCAAGGGUACGGCUGUUCGCCGUUUAAAGUGGUACGCGAGCUGGGUUUAGAACGUCGUGAGACAGUUCGGUCCCUAUCUGCCGUGGGCGUUGGAAGAUUGAAAGGGGCUGCUCCUAGUACGAGAGGACCGGAGUGGACGCACCACUGGUGUUCGGGUUGUCAUGCCAAUGGCAUUGCCCGGUAGCUAAGUGCGGAAGAGAUAACCGCUGAAAGCAUCUAAGCGGGAAACUUGCCUUGAGAUGAGUCUUCCCUGACUCUUUAAGGGUCCUAAAGGAACGUUUAAGACUAAGACGUUGAUAGGUUGGGUGUGUAAGCGUAGCGAUACGUUGAGCUAACCAAUACUAAUGAACCGUGAGGCUUAACCUGACAACACCGAAGGUGUUUUAG
This 2936-nucleotide ribosomal RNA is filed under the name Providencia rettgeri. RNAcentral's name for it is "23S ribosomal RNA". It matches the Rfam family "Bacterial large subunit ribosomal RNA". Lineage: Bacteria; Pseudomonadati; Pseudomonadota; Gammaproteobacteria; Enterobacterales; Morganellaceae. The record is from RNAcentral.